GGACGCGUGCUGCCUCCGUGAGCUGUGCACAGUGGACUGCAGCCUCCGCCGCCACCAACACUCAGGUGGCCCCUCCCGGGGAUGGAGAGUCAAACAAGUACCAGGGAGGCGUCCGAACCGAACUGCUCUCCUCGGAAAGUACAAGUCAUCGCAUUUGAUCAUCGCUGAUGCACAGUGAGGCUGGGAUGGCCCUUUCAGAAUUCAGUUAUUACCAGGAAACUGUUUUGUCUCUUGAAUAAAUUUUACCAGGGCAGAGGCUUAAGAACGACUCAGCUCACGAGGGGAGAUGGGGCGGCCUCUGCCUCUCUGUGGUCAAGGUCACAGACGUCCUGAGAUCGGGGCCAGCGGCCGGGGGACGGCACAGCCUGCCCUGUCGCCCCAGCCUCCACGGCAAUGCUGAGCCCAUGGUCCUCCAGGGGACCUGCCGGCUCCGUCCCCACGGCGUCCUGUGUCGCCCGUGAGCACCAUGUCCUUUUGGGAAAAAAGAAAGUCAUUCUUCACUUCCAGUGCCCAGUACCAGAACCCACUUGGAAUUUGUUCACAAGCCCGAGAACAGGACAUUCCACAACCUGCGCUCGGCAGGGCUGCGUCUUUCUGGAGGAGCUCUGUCUGAAUGUACUGAGAUAAAGAUGAUGAAGUUGGGAACAAAGGCUGACCCUUGACCUCCCAGAGAGAAGACUGGAGAGAAUGGACGAAGAUGGCAGUUCUGCAGAACCAAGGACCUCAGGUUCCCGGGCGGGACUGACCAGACCGUGAAACGUGAC
Molecule: long non-coding RNA, 764 nt
Organism: Molossus molossus (Pallas's mastiff bat)
Lineage: Eukaryota; Metazoa; Chordata; Mammalia; Chiroptera; Molossidae
Exons: 3
Source: RefSeq, a predicted model, not a curated record